RNAcentral lists this ribosomal RNA (460 nucleotides) under uncultured bacterium. Its description in RNAcentral is "partial 16S ribosomal RNA". It matches the Rfam family "Bacterial small subunit ribosomal RNA", at positions 338 to 795 of the family's 1533-position model. The record is from RNAcentral.
CCUACGGGAGGCAGCAGUGAGGAAUAUUGGUCAAUGGACGAGAGUCUGAACCAGCCAAGUAGCGUGAAGGAUGACUGCCCUAUGGGUUGUAAACUUCUUUUAUAUGGGAAUAAAAUGUUCCACGUGUGGGAUUUUGUAUGUACCAUAUGAAUAAGGAUCGGCUAACUCCGUGCCAGCAGCCGCGGUAAUACGGAGGAUCCGAGCGUUAUCCGGAUUUAUUGGGUUUAAAGGGAGCGUAGGUGGAUUGUUAAGUAAGUUGUGAAAGUUUGCGGCUCAACCGUAAAAUUGCAGUUGAAACUGGCAGUCGUGAGUACAGUAGAGGUGGGCGGAAUUCGUGGUGUAGCGGUGAAAUGCUUAGAUAUCACGAAGAACUCCGAUUGCGAAGGCAGCUCACUGGACUGCAACUGACACUGAGGCUCGAAAGUGUGGGUAUCAAACAGGAUUAGAUACCCCUGUAGUC